GGCCUUGUAGCUCAAUUGGUAGAGCAUGCGCGUACAAAGCUUAGGUGGCGUCCAUGCGUGGGUUCGAAUUCCAUUGAGGCUA
Molecule: transfer RNA, 82 nt
Filed under: Echinostoma caproni
Lineage: Eukaryota; Metazoa; Platyhelminthes; Trematoda; Plagiorchiida; Echinostomatidae
Rfam family: tRNA
About the family: Transfer RNA (tRNA) molecules are approximately 80 nucleotides in length.
Source: Rfam by way of RNAcentral